UUAUUAUAAUUAUUUUCCCUCGGUCUCCAUUUAAAUUCUCUAAUUUCUCGUAUAGGACUACUGAGGUGACGUCAUACCUCGGUGAUGGAACGUACUUCACCUAUCGAGAAUUAUUUCGCGUUCUGUGAGUUUGACGUCGUACUCUUGGAAGGAGAGACGAAUGUUCAUCACUUGACUGGUGGCUGUAGGUGAAGUUGGUUGCUACCAUAGAAUAUUAGAAUGGCGGUUGGUUUUUUAUUUUAUAACAUCAGUGAAAAGUGAAAAAGUUACCACAAAUGGUUUUCUACAGUAGGGAGGCAUGUGGGUAGAACAACCCCUCUUGGAAUAGGAAUAGAAAUCACCGCCAUUUUGGAGUAACCACAUGGUGAACUCAUAGCCCUUUGACACCUAGGGAAACCACUACAGCCACAGUCAAGUCACCAUGGGAAUAUGUCGAUUUGGGAGCAAGCGAUGGGACAUUCCAGUCCCACUUUUGUCAUCUUUACACCGGUAUCUACGGGAAACAUGGUUCAGCACCUCCUCUGGUGCUAAUUUUAGGGGUUGCAGCAUCAGACUUCACUUUGAGGUCGUCCGAUGAAGGGAUUGGUUUGGGCAUUUAGUGCCAAAAAGAACAUGGAGAGCAGUCCAGCACUCUGAAUCGACGAUUUUUGACUCUUAUUGGAGUCAUCAUCGGAGAGGCCUGCUGAUCUCUGCUCGAAGUGACCAAACCAUGAAAGUUUAUCCCCGCAUUGCAACUGACGUGUAUGGAGUAGGUGACUAGCGUCAUCUGGCAACUGAAAGGACUGAGAAUUAACUUAAUUUGGCCCUGUCUUGCACCCUGUAGUAGCCGACCCGGAACUAAGGUGGUUCACGUGCCCCGGAAGGAAGAUUUCAGGGAGCGGCAAAAUUUGAACAGUUUAUAAAAAAUAAUAAGUUUUUUAAUUUUUUAUAAUAAUCGAUAUUAUUUGAUUUUAUUUAAUUUUGUUGCAAAAUUUACCAGCUUUAUUACGUUGACGAUAUAUCCUCGUCAUACGCAAGCUUAUGCCAAAUUAGGCAGAUUGUUAUUUUAUGAAUUUCUGGUCUAAAUGACAUGGUCUAAAUGAAAUAGUCCAAAUAUGUUAUCGAAAUAAUAUUUUCCGUGCUUUUUUUCUUAAAGGAGAUUAAAAAAAACAUAUGUAGGUAGGUGAAAAAAAAUAUGUAGGUACCUACAUAUGUAACCGUCAGGUUCACACAACAGUAUAUCAAUUUGUGUAAAUUUUGCUCGUCAUUUUAUUAGAGGUAACAAAAAGAAAAGAUUUUUCGCUAAAUAAAGUUUAUUUGUUGUCUAAAACCAAAAAGUCUCCUAUUGCCAGUUUGAAGGCAUAUAAGUCUAACAUAUUCUGUUUAGGCAAUCUUUUUUUUAAGUCCAUUUUGUAUUGAAGCCAAGCAUUCACUGAAGUAGAGCCAAAAAAAUGUUCAAUGGCUCUUACUGGCCAAUUUCUUGUUUUAGGGUAACUCCGAUAGAUAGAUUUGAUGUUAUUCUAUUGUUUAAAUCAACCCUUCUUAUUUUAUCUUUCUCGUUUGGAGUAAAAAGGCGAAAGUUUAUAAUUGACUCAUUAUCUUUCUGUCAGUUUUUAUUGACACAUCGUUGUUAUAAGUCUCUUCUACUAGAUGAUCUACGAAUGCCUCUUCUACCUGCACGUCGACCUCUUUGAUUAGGUGCAUUUUUUAUAACUGAAGAGUUAAGAAAAAGCUCAUUAAAGGUUAUUCAAUUGCUAUUUCUUUCACUGUCACUAUCAUUAUCAUUGUCCUUUUCUCCACUUGUAUAAUUCUAGGCUCAGUGGAGGCUGCUCUUCAGAUAAUGAAAACACCAACUAGUAAUGCGAGAUUUUAUUUAUAAGACCGACACUAAGGGUAGUUACCCCGGGAGAACUUUGAGUAAUGACUUGUGACUUGUACGCGAUUUAGUUAAAGACUCUAUGAUGCUACAUAUUGACUGAAGUUAAAGGCACAUCUUGCCUGGUU
RNAcentral lists this long non-coding RNA (1983 nucleotides) under Diabrotica virgifera virgifera (western corn rootworm). Its description in RNAcentral is "uncharacterized LOC114332496". The record is from RNAcentral. Lineage: Eukaryota; Metazoa; Arthropoda; Insecta; Coleoptera; Chrysomelidae.